GACGAACGCUGGCGGCGUGCUUAACACAUGCAAGUCGAACGAAGAGCGAUGGAAGCUUGCUUCUAUCAAUCUUAGUGGCGAACGGGUGAGUAACGCGUAAUCAACCUGCCCUUCAGAGGGGGGCAACAGUUGGAAACGACUGCUAAUACCGCAUACGAUCUAAUCUCGGCAUCGAGGAUGGAUGAAAGGUGGCCUCUAUUUAUAAGCUAUCACUGAAGGAGGGGAUUGCGUCUGAUUAGCUAGUUGGAGGGGUAACGGCCCACCAAGGCGAUGAUCAGUAGCCGGUCUGAGAGGAUGAACGGCCACAUUGGGACUGAGACACGGCCCAGACUCCUACGGGAGGCAGCAGUGGGGAAUCUUCCGCAAUGGACGAAAGUCUGACGGAGCAACGCCGCGUGAGUGAUGACGGCCUUCGGGUUGUAAAGCUCUGUUAAUCGGGACGAAAGGCCUUCUUGCGAAUAGUUAGAAGGAUUGACGGUACCGGAAUAGAAAGCCACGGCUAACUACGUGCCAGCAGCCGCGGUAUACGUAGGUGGCAAGCGUUGUCCGGAAUUAUUGGGCGUAAA
This 566-nucleotide ribosomal RNA is filed under the name uncultured organism. RNAcentral describes it as "SSU rRNA". It matches the Rfam family "Bacterial small subunit ribosomal RNA", at positions 28 to 564 of the family's 1533-position model. The record is from RNAcentral.